UGCUUACUUUGGAUGGAGAUGGAUGUGU
RNAcentral lists this non-coding RNA (28 nucleotides) under Rattus norvegicus (Norway rat). The record is from RNAcentral. Lineage: Eukaryota; Metazoa; Chordata; Mammalia; Rodentia; Muridae.